GACGAACGCUGGCGGCGUGCUUAACACAUGCAAGUCGAACGGAAACGCCCUGCUUUUGUGGGGUGCUCGAGUGGCGAACGGGUGAGUAACACGUGAGUAACCUGCCCUUGAUUUUGGGAUAACUUCAGGAAACUGGGGCUACUACCGGACAGGAGCUCCUGCUGCAUGGUGGGGGUUGGAAAGUUGCGGCGGUCGGGGAUGGACUCGCGGCUUAUCAGCUUGCUGGUGGGGUGGUGGCUUACCAAGGCUUUGACGGGUAGCCGGCCUGUGAGGGGGACCGGGCACAUUGGUACUAAGGGACGGCCCAGAGGCCUACGGGGGGCAGCAGUGGGGAGUAUUGCACAAUGGGCGGGAGCCUGAUGCAGCAACGCCGCGUGCGGGAUGACGGCCUUCGGGUUGAAAACCGCUGUCGCCUGUGACGAAGCGGGAGUGACGGUAAUGAGUAAAGAAGCACCGGCUAACUACGUG
RNAcentral lists this ribosomal RNA (468 nucleotides) under uncultured bacterium. Its description in RNAcentral is "partial 16S ribosomal RNA". It matches the Rfam family "Bacterial small subunit ribosomal RNA", at positions 28 to 507 of the family's 1533-position model. The record is from RNAcentral.